AGAGUUUGGAUCCUGGCUCAGGACGAACGCUGGCGGCGUGCUUAACACAUGCAAGUCGAACGAGGUUCAAUCAUUCGCAAGUUUGAGGAAGAUCGAGUGGCGAACGGGUGCGUAACACGUGAGGAACCUAUCCCAGUCUCUGGAAUAACAGGUGGAAACACCUGCUAAUACCGGAUACCGCUGGACCAUCGCAUGGUGGACCAACGAAAGAUUUAUCGGAUUGGGAGGGCCUCGCGGCCUAUCAGCUUGUUGGUGAGGUAACGGCUCACCAAGGCGUCGACGGUAGCUGGUCUGAGAGGAUGAUCAGCCACACUGGGACUGAGACACGGCCCAGACUCCUACGGGAGGCAGCAGUGGGGAAUCUUGCACAAUGGGCGAAAGCCUGAUGCAGCAACGCCGCGUGCGGGAAGAAGGCCCUAGGGUUGUAAACCGCUUUCAGCAGGGAAGAAAAUGACGGACCUGUAGAAGAAGGUGCGGCCAACUACGUGCCAGCAGCCGCGGUGACACGUAGGCACCAAGCGUUGUCCGGAUUUAUUGGGCGUAAAGAGCUCGUAGGCGGUUCGGUUAAGUCGGUGUGAAAACUCCUGGGCUCAACCCCAGAGACGCCACCU
Molecule: ribosomal RNA, 611 nt
Filed under: uncultured Actinomycetes bacterium
Lineage: Bacteria; Bacillati; Actinomycetota; Actinomycetes
Description: bacterial SSU rRNA
Rfam family: Bacterial small subunit ribosomal RNA
Source: RNAcentral